Molecule: long non-coding RNA, 1374 nt
Organism: Octopus bimaculoides (California two-spot octopus)
Lineage: Eukaryota; Metazoa; Mollusca; Cephalopoda; Octopoda; Octopodidae
Source: RefSeq, a predicted model, not a curated record
GCAUGCCGUGCGAAAUGCUUAUCUGUAUUUCGUCUGUCUUCAUGUUCUGAGUUCAUAUUCCACCCAGGUCGACUUUACCUUUCAUCCUUUCGGGGUUGAUAAAUUAAAUAAUCGACUGUCCCCCUCCCCAGCCGAUAAACUGACGUACACAAAUCUGAAUUGAAAACGAUCGUGGGUAUCACGAGUAACAACGUCGCCUAACGGUAGAUAUUGGAACUACAGUGCAAUAUGAGCUCCUCCGAAAGACUGAUGAAUAAGACAACACAGCUGAUUUCAUGAUUUCGGUCACUCAGCGGCACUACUUUCUGGUGUGCAGCUUAAUAUUUACUGUACAUAUUUUUAUAUGAUUUUAUUCUUAUUUAUUGUACAGUAACAUGAUUCUAUGUGCUUUUAACGGUUUUCUAGUGAUUUUACGAUUCCAAUAUUUGUGGCGGUCAGACGUAAAACCGAGUAAAUUGAAUUAACUUGAUUUUUAUUUUUCCAUGUUAUUUUUGAAAACUGACGUAUCAAGAACGACUUAAGCCGAGACAAUUUCACCAGUAGCUGCACGUGAAGUCUUCUAAUCAAUCGACUCCUAUGCUCAGUUUAACAUAAAAUUGCCGCAAGAUUGGAAUUUCACUGGUAUGCAUCUGUGAGCCGUUGUGUGAUGAAGAUGCUGCAGCACGGAAUUAUGUCAGUGAACAGGUCGCGGUUUCAAAGCGACGAAAAUAUUUUGCAGAAGCAAAAAGAAGGAAUAACAAGCAGUUGACAACUUCGUGACCUCUACAAGUAGAAAAGUCAUGACUUGUGGCUUCAGUUAACAAUCGAACCCGGAUCGCAGACUGAAUUUACGAGAGCAUACCUCAUAGCAUUCUUUACAAUCCUUAACAUGAGAAAAAUAAAAUACUCACCUUCACAUAGGCCAACAUACACUGACAGAAACAGGAAAAAGAGAUGGGGAUAAAAAUCAGAGCAACAGAACAAGAGUUAACAUCAGUGUUACUAAACUGAAAACAGAUGUGGCAUUUUUUUACUUUGUUCUUGAGUUCCGCAUUUUUUGCGCAUGCACCUUUGCAUUGAUUACAUCAGGUCUUGUAGUUGUUUUUGUUAGUGGAGAACGCAUUAAAAACUUCUCUCGGGAUGCAAGUUUUACUUAUUUGUGCAACGCGAGACUUUAGUGUUUUGAAUCAAUUACAAAGUAAGGGUGUUGAAUAAAUGUAAAAAUCUAGGUGAUAUAUGAGCCAGCCGCAAACAGUACUAUCAUCUGUAUGUAUUCAUAUUAUAUCAACAAUGUAUUAUACAGCUGUACACCCAAUGUGUUUUUCUGCUAUUUUAUUAAGAAUACAUACAUACAUACAUACAUACAUACAUACAUACAUACAUACGUACUAUGUA